RNAcentral lists this ribosomal RNA (255 nucleotides) under uncultured bacterium. RNAcentral's name for it is "partial 16S ribosomal RNA". It matches the Rfam family "Bacterial small subunit ribosomal RNA", at positions 524 to 776 of the family's 1533-position model. The record is from RNAcentral.
GACGUAGGGCGCGAGCGUUGUCCGGAUUUAUUGGGCGUAAAGAGCUCGUAGGCGGCUUGUCGCGUCGUCCGUGAAAACCUGCGGCUCAACCGUGUGGUCUGCAGUCGAUACGGGCAGGCUGGAGUUCGGUAGGGGAGACUGGAAUUCCUGGUGUAGCAGUGAAAUGCGCAGAUAUCAGGAGGAACACCGGUGGCGAAGGCGGGUCUCUGGGCCGAUACUGACGCUGAGUGAGCGAAAGCCAGGGGAGCAAACGGG